Molecule: transfer RNA, 71 nt
Filed under: Loxodonta africana (African savanna elephant)
Lineage: Eukaryota; Metazoa; Chordata; Mammalia; Proboscidea; Elephantidae
Rfam family: tRNA
About the family: Transfer RNA (tRNA) molecules are approximately 80 nucleotides in length. Their secondary structure includes four short double-helical elements and three loops (D, anti-codon, and T loops).
Source: Rfam by way of RNAcentral
CCAUUGGUGGCUCAAAGGUUAAGCACUCAGCUGCCAACUGAAAGGUUAGUGGUUUGAACCUACCCAGUGGC